AAUACAGAGGUCCCGAGCGUUGUUCGGAUUCACUGGGCGUAAAGGGUGCGUAGGUGGCGUGGUAAGUUUGAUGUGAAAGCUCAGGGCUUAACCCUGAAAUGGCAUUGAAUACUACUAUGCUGGAGGUUUGGAGGGGGGACUGGAAUUCUCGGUGUAGCAGUGAAAUGCGUAGAUAUCGAGAGGAACACCAGUGGCGAAGGCGAGUCCCUGGACAACACCUGACACUGAGGCACGAAAGCUAGGGGAGCAAACA
Molecule: ribosomal RNA, 253 nt
Filed under: uncultured prokaryote
Description: partial 16S ribosomal RNA
Rfam family: Bacterial small subunit ribosomal RNA
Source: RNAcentral